This 583-nucleotide long non-coding RNA is filed under the name Manihot esculenta (cassava). Its description in RNAcentral is "long non-coding RNA (MESC_LNC008101)". Lineage: Eukaryota; Viridiplantae; Streptophyta; Magnoliopsida; Malpighiales; Euphorbiaceae. The record is from RNAcentral.
AUUUAUUUGGCUUUUUAUUAAAGUACAAGGCUUAAUUGAUAAUUUUCAAAAUUAAUUAAAUUGAAUAAACCUAUCAAGUAAAACUAACUGUAUUAUUAUCGUUUACAUUUUCAUGGUUUCAUCAUAGGCUGAUUAUCCAACUCCGGAUGAAGAUUAAGGCACCUCACCUCCUCAAACGUGCUUCACUAUAGCUUGCCCAAAACAGAACUCCCUCCCUGUCUUUGAUUCUGGGUCUUCCUCAGCCUACUAUACUGUGGUGUCCUCUGAAGAGUAGUCAUUCACAAGGACUAUAUUUCCAGUGUUCUUCAUUGGAUAGGUUUCUCUCUGUUUCUGAGUCUCGUGUUAAGUCAUAUCUACCAAAAAAAAAUAUCAUAGUUUUUGUUGUAAAUUGCUGGGAAAGAUUCACCAAAGAGGAAAACCCCAUGUAACAUCUCAUCAUUUUUCAAUAGUUAGAGUUCCUUGAUUGAUACACAUCAUCUCCUUCUAAUCACAUACACUCUUUUCCCUUCACUGUCUCUUUGUAGAUGCAAUUAGGAUUCCAUAGGCCAUUUCUUGUCCCAGAAUGGAAGGAUCUUUUCUCUAC